RNAcentral lists this long non-coding RNA (1078 nucleotides) under Oryctolagus cuniculus (rabbit). RNAcentral describes it as "lncRNA (ENSOCUG00000037543.1)". The record is from RNAcentral. Lineage: Eukaryota; Metazoa; Chordata; Mammalia; Lagomorpha; Leporidae.
CUGUGCUCUUGGGACAGUCCCUGGACACAUCUGGAGGCUGUGGCUUCCUGUUCUAUGAGGCUCACAGAUGAGUUCUGCUUCCUGGGGGAAGAUCCCACACCACGCCCGCCGGACUCCAAGCCCGGUCCUGUUCCGACUCUGCCGCGUCGGCACCCGCAGCUCACUCCCUGAAUGGCCGUGCGGAGCUCCAUGUGUGAGCACACUUUUACCUGGCUGACUUGCACAGGAUCGCUGUCACGAUGAGGUUGGGAGUCCCCUUCGAGGAGCGUCUGUUGUGUUCUGAAUUCCUUCUUGGUGCACGCCCAGCCACGGAGCUGCGGGAGAGGUGUGUCUUUGGCACAGGGAUUCUGCUGUCACUCCCUGUGUGGGUUCCUGUGCGUGUCGACAGAGAAGGAAGGACCUGGACGGGAGCAGUGGGGAGGAAAAGCAAACCGACUGACACAGACAAGGCAGAGAGGACUCGGCACCCAGAGGGGCUCCUAAGGAGGAGGCCGUCACCCUUACAGGUCGCUAGCUAGAGCCUUUUGGUCUAGUUGAAUGGAAAGCUCCUUCUGAUUGGCUGGCUGAAAUGUCAGUCCUGAAAGUAAGGCGUCAGCCAAUCGUCAGGCCCCUUAGCUGUUGUCAGCCAGCCGGUCUUGGCCAGGGCUCUGGCUGUGAACCAGGCGCUGUCUGCGGUUCUGCAGGCCGUGUCCUCUAACGUUCCGAGAACAAAGCCUUCGCAGGCACCGGGAGCUUUUUAGAAAACCAGGCUUGCACGUGGGGGAGGGCGCGCACGCCUGACAGUAGCUCUGUCUCUCUCCGUGCGCUGUUGGGUGUUGCUUUUAAUCCACUCAGUCUGCAUCUUUCCCUUGGCUAAGCUAGUCCUUUUCCACUCAAGGUUACUAUUGAGAAAAAGCCACUUGAAGUCACCUCGUGUUUGCUGAGCCCUUCUCAGCGAGAACCUUCUGGGCUCCUCUCCAGCUCUGCCCCUCCAUCUCCAGACUCUUGCCCUCCCCGGGUAACCACCGUGCCCACCCUCCCCCCACCAGACCAUGGAAAGGCAGCGUCUUCAUUCUGUUUGUCGCGAGCUUCCUGCUGG